GCAUCCAGUUGCCAUCGGGCGGAGCCGGGCGACUCUGAGGGACUGCCGGCGACAAGCCGGAGGAAGGUGGGGAGUGACGUCAAGUCAUCAUGGCCCUUAUGUCCAGGGCGACACACGUGCUACAAUGGCCGGCACAGCGGGAAGCGGAGGGGCGACCCUGAGCGGAUCCCUUGAAAGCCGGUCCCAGUUCGGAUUGCAGUCUGCAACUCGACUGCAUGAAGUUGGAAUCGCUAGUAAUCGCGGAUCAGCCAAGCCGCGGUGAAUACGUUCCCGGGCCUU
This 279-nucleotide ribosomal RNA is filed under the name uncultured Thermovirga sp. RNAcentral's name for it is "partial 16S ribosomal RNA". It matches the Rfam family "Bacterial small subunit ribosomal RNA", at positions 1107 to 1382 of the family's 1533-position model. Lineage: Bacteria; Thermotogati; Synergistota; Synergistia; Synergistales; Thermovirgaceae. The record is from RNAcentral.